Long non-coding RNA from Oreochromis niloticus (Nile tilapia), 904 nucleotides. RefSeq lists it as uncharacterized. The transcript has 2 exons. The record is from RefSeq and is a predicted model, not a curated record. NCBI's taxonomy places the organism in Eukaryota, Metazoa, Chordata, Actinopteri, Cichliformes, Cichlidae.
ACCCACUCUGGAAUUAAGGCGUACAGCUGUGACAUUUGUGGAAAAACUUUCAGCCGGAUAGGGAGCCGAAAUACACACCUACGCAUUCACACCAGACAUGAUGUGUACAGCUGUGAUCAGUGUGGUAAACAGUUUACUACAAACACAGAGUUACGACGUCACAUGUUUACCCACACUGAGGAACGACCUUAUAAAUGUGACCUGUGUGACAAGACUUUUAAAUCUCCACGUUACCUGAGACGACACCAACAGAUCCACACCAGAAAGACUCUACAAGUGCAGUUACUGUGAGAAGCAGAGCGACACAGAUGGAUCAAGUUCUCAACCCUGUCAUCGCUGUGGGAAAGACUUUUGUUGUGACCUUUGUGGAAAAACUUUAAGUCAUUGAAGGACUCUGAAAAUACAUCAACGUAGACACACUGGAGACAAAAUGAACUACUGUAAAGAAUGCGGGAGAGGCUUCACCACUUCAAAGGACUUCAAACAAUAUGAACUCCUUCACAGUGGCGUUAAAAAGCAUGUCUGCGAUCAGUGUGGGUCAUCCUUCAUCAGUGCACGUCAGCUUGAAAAGCAUAAACGAGUCCACACAUGAGAGAAACCAUACAAGUGCAGACACUGUGACAAAACCUUUUCACAAUCAUGUGAUCAUACUAAGCAUGAACGCAGACACAUGAAAGAGAACUUCAUCUGUGAAAGAGUUUGAGUAAUCUCAGUUCAUACUCCACUCAGAAACGAUUCCAUGUUACAAAUAAACUGUUACGUCUUGAUUCCUGCUUUUACGUUAAUCUUGUAAACAGUACAUUUGCAUAACGACUGAAACCGGCCCAAUGAAUGAACAAUGGGCUGUGAGGUCAAUUUCUUCAUCAUUAAUAUGCAAAUUCUUAUGAGCAUUGAUCAACAACCA